Small nuclear RNA from Suncus etruscus (white-toothed pygmy shrew), 110 nucleotides. The record is from RefSeq and is a predicted model, not a curated record. NCBI's taxonomy places the organism in Eukaryota, Metazoa, Chordata, Mammalia, Eulipotyphla, Soricidae.
GUGCUGGCUUCGGCAGCACAUAUACUAAAAUUGGAAUGAUACAGAGAAGAUUAGCAUGGCCCCUGCUCAAGGAUGACAAACAUACAUGGUUGGAAAUGGUGCAGAUCCAC